RNAcentral lists this unclassified non-coding RNA (166 nucleotides) under uncultured fungus. RNAcentral's name for it is "sequence contains ITS1, 5.8S rRNA gene". The record is from RNAcentral. Lineage: Eukaryota; Fungi.
CAGAGUUCAUGCCCUCACGGGUAGACCUCCCACCCUUGUGUAAAUAAUACUUUGUUGCUUUGGCGGGACGCACGCUUGUGCCCCGGGCCUUCGGGCCUGGGUGUGCCCGCCAGAGGACCCCUAAAAUCUGAAUGUUAGUGUCGUCUGAGUACUAUAUCAAUAGUUA